UGAGGAAUAUUGGUCAAUGGACGAGAGUCUGAACCAGCCAAGUAGCGUGCAGGAAGACGGCCCUAUGGGUUGUAAACUGCUUUUAUAAGGGAAUAAAGUGAGUCUCGUGAGACUUUUUGCAUGUACCUUAUGAAUAAGGACCGGCUAAUUCCGUGCCAGCAGCCGCGGUAAUACGGAAGGUCCGGGCGUUAUCCGGAUUUAUUGGGUUUAAAGGGAGCGUAGGCCGGAGAUUAAGCGUGUUGUGAAAUGUAGACGCUCAACGUCUGCACUGCAGCGCGAACUGGUUUCCUUGAGUACGCACAAAGUGGGCGGAAUUCGUGGUGUAGCGGUGAAAUGCUUAGAUAUCACGAAGAACUCCGAUUGCGAAGGCAGCUCACUGGAGCGCAACUGACGCUGAAGCUCGAAAGUGCGGGUAUCGAACAGG
This 424-nucleotide ribosomal RNA is filed under the name uncultured bacterium. RNAcentral describes it as "bacterial SSU rRNA". It matches the Rfam family "Bacterial small subunit ribosomal RNA", at positions 355 to 776 of the family's 1533-position model. RNAcentral also lists the same sequence under 2 other names. The record is from RNAcentral.